This 498-nucleotide ribosomal RNA is filed under the name uncultured bacterium. Its description in RNAcentral is "partial 16S ribosomal RNA". It matches the Rfam family "Bacterial small subunit ribosomal RNA", at positions 30 to 523 of the family's 1533-position model. The record is from RNAcentral.
AUUGAACGCUGGCGGCAUGCCUUACACAUGCAAGUCGAACGGUAACAGGUCUUCGGAUGCUGACGAGUGGCGAACGGGUGAGUAAUACAUCGGAACGUGCCUAGUAGUGGGGGAUAACUACUCGAAAGAGUGGCUAAUACCGCAUGAGAUCUACGGAUGAAAGCAGGGGAUCGCAAGACCUUGUGCUACUAGAGCGGCCGAUGGCAGAUUAGGUAGUUGGUGGGAUGAAAGCUUACCAAGCCGACGAUCUGUAGCUGGUCUGAGAGGACGAUCAGCCACACUGGGACUGGGACACGGACGCGACUCCUACGGGAGGCAGCAGUGGGGAAUUUUGGACAAUGGGCGCAAGCCUGAUCCAGCAAUGCCGCGUGCAGGAUGAAGGCCUUCGGGUUGUAAACUGCUUUUGUACGGAACGAAAAGCCCUGGGUUAAUACCCUGGGGUCAUGACGGUACCGUAAGAAUAAGCACCGGCUAACUACGUGCCAGCCGCCGCAGUAA